UACGUAGGCAGCGAGCGUUGUUCGGAGUUACUGGGCGUAAAGGGUGCGUAGGCGGUUUCGUAAGGGUGGCGUGAAAGCGUCCGGCUCAACCGGAUAGACGCGCCGCCGACUGCGGGGCUUCGAGUGUGGGAGAGGACGGCGGAAUUCCCGGUGUAGCGGUGAAAUGCGUAGAGAUCGGGAGGAACACCUGCGGCGCAGGCGGCUGUCUGGACCACGACUGACGCUGAGGCACGAAAGCGUGGGGAGCAAACAGG
Molecule: ribosomal RNA, 254 nt
Filed under: uncultured bacterium
Lineage: Bacteria
Description: partial 16S ribosomal RNA
Rfam family: Bacterial small subunit ribosomal RNA
Source: RNAcentral